AGGCUGGUAGCUUAUUUGGUAAAGCAUAUUGCUCAUAACAAUAGGAAAGUUGGUUCAAGUCCAACUCAGUCUA
Molecule: transfer RNA, 73 nt
Filed under: Oscarella malakhovi
Lineage: Eukaryota; Metazoa; Porifera; Homoscleromorpha; Homosclerophorida; Oscarellidae
Description: tRNA-Ile
Rfam family: tRNA
About the family: Transfer RNA (tRNA) molecules are approximately 80 nucleotides in length. Their secondary structure includes four short double-helical elements and three loops (D, anti-codon, and T loops). Further hydrogen bonds mediate the characteristic L-shaped molecular structure. tRNAs have two regions of fundamental functional importance: the anti-codon, which is responsible for specific mRNA codon recognition, and the 3' end, to which the tRNAs corresponding amino acid is attached (by aminoacyl-tRNA synthetases). tRNAs cope with the degeneracy of the genetic code in two manners: having more than one tRNA (with a specific anti-codon) for a particular amino acid; and 'wobble' base-pairing, i.e. permitting non-standard base-pairing at the 3rd anti-codon position.
Source: RNAcentral